GACGAACGCUGGCGGCGUGCUUAACACAUGCAAGUCGAGCGGUAAGGCCUUUCGGGGUACACGAGCGGCGAACGGGUGAGUAACACGUGGGUGAUCUGCCCUGCACUUUGGGAUAAGCCUGGGAAACUGGGUCUAAUACCGGAUAUGACCUCCUAUCGCAUGGUGGGUGGUGGAAAGAUUUAUCGGUGCAGGAUGGGCCCGCGGCCUAUCAGCUUGUUGGUGGGGUAAUGGCCUACCAAGGCGACGACGGGUAGCCGACCUGAGAGGGUGACCGGCCACACUGGGACUGAGACACGGCCCAGACUCCUACGAGAGGCAGCAGUGGAGAGUAUUGCACAGUGGGCGAACGCCUGAUGCAGCGACGCCGCGUGGGGGAUGACGGCCUUCGGGUUGUAAACCUCUUUCAGCAGAGACGAAGCGCAAGUGACGGUACCUGCAGAAGAAGCACCGGCUAACUACGUG
This 462-nucleotide ribosomal RNA is filed under the name uncultured bacterium. RNAcentral's name for it is "partial 16S ribosomal RNA". It matches the Rfam family "Bacterial small subunit ribosomal RNA", at positions 28 to 507 of the family's 1533-position model. The record is from RNAcentral.